AUUGAACGCUGGCGGCAGGCUUAACACAUGCAAGUCGAGCGAGCGGCUGACGGGUGAGUAAUUUCCGGGAAACUGCCUGAUGGAGGGGGAUAACUACUGGAAACGGUAGCUAAUACCGCAUACCAUCAGAUGUGCCCCGAUGGGAUUAGCUAGUAGGUGGGGUAAUGGCUCACCUAGGCGACGAUCCCUCGCUGGUCUGAGAGGAUGACCAGCCAAGCUGGAACGGAGACACGGUCCAGACUCCUACGGGAGGAAGCAGUGGGGAAUAUGGCACAAGGGGCGCAAGCCUGAUGAAGCCAUGCCGCGUGUGUGAAGAAGGCCUUCGGGUUGUAAAGCACUUUCAGCGAGGAGGCGUUACUCGCAGAAGAAGCACCGACUAACUCCGUGCCAGCAGCCGCGGUAAUUC
RNAcentral lists this ribosomal RNA (406 nucleotides) under uncultured bacterium. RNAcentral's name for it is "partial 16S ribosomal RNA". It matches the Rfam family "Bacterial small subunit ribosomal RNA", at positions 30 to 526 of the family's 1533-position model. The record is from RNAcentral.